UGCUAGAAUCUUUAGAACUUUGG
This 23-nucleotide non-coding RNA is filed under the name Arabidopsis thaliana (thale cress). Lineage: Eukaryota; Viridiplantae; Streptophyta; Magnoliopsida; Brassicales; Brassicaceae. The record is from RNAcentral.